This 74-nucleotide transfer RNA is filed under the name Dipodomys ordii (Ord's kangaroo rat). It matches the Rfam family "tRNA". Rfam says of the family: Transfer RNA (tRNA) molecules are approximately 80 nucleotides in length. Their secondary structure includes four short double-helical elements and three loops (D, anti-codon, and T loops). Lineage: Eukaryota; Metazoa; Chordata; Mammalia; Rodentia; Heteromyidae. The record is from Rfam by way of RNAcentral.
GGGAAUGUAGCUUAGUGGUAGAGCACUUGCCUAGCAUGCAAGCAUGAAGCUCUGGGUUCAAUUCCUCAGUACCA